RNAcentral lists this ribosomal RNA (292 nucleotides) under uncultured bacterium. RNAcentral's name for it is "partial 16S ribosomal RNA". It matches the Rfam family "Bacterial small subunit ribosomal RNA", at positions 505 to 796 of the family's 1533-position model. The record is from RNAcentral.
GUGCCAGCAGCCGCGGUAAUACGUAGGCAGCGAGCGUUGUUCGGAGUUACUGGGCGUAAAGGGUGUGUAGGCGGUCUUCUAAGUUUGGUGUGAAAUCUCCCGGCUCAACUGGGAGGGUGCGCCGAAAACUGGGAGGCUAGAGUGCGGGAUGGGAGAGUGGAAUUCCUGGUGUAGCGGUGAAAUGCGUAGAUAUCAGGAGGAACACCUGUGGUGUAGACGGCUCUCUGGACCGCAACUGACGCUGAGACACGAAAGCGUGGGUAGCAAACAGGAUUAGAUACCCCAGUAGUCC